AUUGAACGCUGGCGGAAUGCUUUACACAUGCAAGUCGAACGGUAACAGGUUAAGCUGACGAGUGGCGAACGGGUGAGUAAUACAUCGGAGCGUGCCCAGUCGUGGGGGAUAACGUAGAGAAAUUUACGCUAAUACCGCAUACGAUCUAAGGAUGAAAGCGGGGGACCGUAAGGCCUCGCGCGAUUGGAGCGGCCGAUGUCAGAUUAGGUAGUUGGUGGGGUAAAGGCCUACCAAGCCGACGAUCUGUAGCUGGUCUGAGAGGACGACCAGCCACACUGGGACUGAGGCACGGCCCAGACUCCUACGGGAGGCAGCAGUGGGGAAUUUUGGACAAUGGGCGCAAGCCUGAUCCAGCCAUUCCGCGUGCAGGAUGAAGGCCCUCGGGUUGUAAACUGCUUUUGUACAGAACGAAAAGGUCUGGGUUAAUACCCUGGGCUCAUGACGGUACUGUAAGAAUAAGCACCGGCUAACUACGUGCCAGCAGCCGCCGUAA
Molecule: ribosomal RNA, 493 nt
Filed under: uncultured bacterium
Lineage: Bacteria
Description: partial 16S ribosomal RNA
Rfam family: Bacterial small subunit ribosomal RNA
Source: RNAcentral